This 213-nucleotide long non-coding RNA is filed under the name Manihot esculenta (cassava). RNAcentral describes it as "long non-coding RNA (MESC_LNC002802)". Lineage: Eukaryota; Viridiplantae; Streptophyta; Magnoliopsida; Malpighiales; Euphorbiaceae. The record is from RNAcentral.
CAGUACUGUGAACUCUGUAUGUUUAUAUGGCAUGCCAUACCCUUAAGCUAACCUCGACUCCUAUUACGUUUACUAGGGCCAAGUAUCAUUAACUCAAUGUAUCAAUGUAAAUGCAUGUCAUUUGAAGCUAUUUGAUUUCUUUUUCCAAAGUAUAUAUAUCAUAUGCCAAGGUUUACAAUAUGGAAAACUCAUGGCAAAUAGUGCAAAACUUUA